GGAGAAAAAAAAAGAGGACGAGAAGACAUUACUCCUGAUGGGAAGCCCAAUGCGAGGUGGAGCUUCAAGAGUCAAGAAGAGUCCAAAACAAGAUGGAGCUUCAGGUGGAGAUAAAUCAGGCACAAGAUGUGACUCGGGAGGAUGAGAGGUGAUAUCACAAAGUGAGAUUCCUAUUAUCGCAGGAGGAUACCCCGAGCAG
This 199-nucleotide long non-coding RNA is filed under the name Elaeis guineensis (African oil palm). Its description in RNAcentral is "long non-coding RNA (EGUI_LNC025278)". The record is from RNAcentral. Lineage: Eukaryota; Viridiplantae; Streptophyta; Magnoliopsida; Arecales; Arecaceae.